UACGGAGGGGGCUAGCGUUGUUCGGAAUUACUGGGCGUAAAGCGCACGUAGGCGGCUUUGUAAGUUAGAGGUGAAAGCCCGGGCUUACCAUGGAAUUGCCUUUAAGACUGCAUCGCUAGAAUUGUGGAGAGGUAAGUGGAAUUCCGAGUGUAGAGGUGAAAUUCGUAGAUAUUCGGAAGAACACCAGUGGCGAAGGCGACUCACUGGACACAUAUUGACGCUGAGGUGCGAAAGCGUGGGGAGCAAACAGG
RNAcentral lists this ribosomal RNA (251 nucleotides) under uncultured bacterium. RNAcentral's name for it is "partial 16S ribosomal RNA". It matches the Rfam family "Bacterial small subunit ribosomal RNA", at positions 524 to 776 of the family's 1533-position model. The record is from RNAcentral.